UACGGAGGGCGCAAGCGUUGUUCGGAAUCACUGGGCGUAAAGCGCGUGUAGGCGGCCGGGCAAGUCGGGUGUGAAAGCCCGAGGCUCAACCUCGGAACUGCAUUCGAAACUGCUCGGCUCGAGUCCCGGAGAGGAUGGCGGAAUUCCCGGUGUAGGGGUGAAAUCCGUAGAUAUCGGGAGGAACACCAGCGGCGAAGGCGGCCAUCUGGACGGUGACUGACGCUGAGACGCGAAAGCGUGGGGAGCAAACAGG
Molecule: ribosomal RNA, 253 nt
Filed under: uncultured bacterium
Lineage: Bacteria
Description: partial 16S ribosomal RNA
Rfam family: Bacterial small subunit ribosomal RNA
Source: RNAcentral